RNAcentral lists this ribosomal RNA (253 nucleotides) under uncultured bacterium. RNAcentral's name for it is "partial 16S ribosomal RNA". It matches the Rfam family "Bacterial small subunit ribosomal RNA", at positions 524 to 776 of the family's 1533-position model. The record is from RNAcentral.
GACAGAGGUGCCGAGCGUUAGGCGGAAUCACUGGGCUUAAAGCGUGUGUAGGCGGGCCGUUAAGUAUCUUGUGAAAUCCCCCGGCUCAACCGGGGAAUGGCUGGAUAUACUGGCGGUCUUGAGCGAUCUAGGGGCAGAUGGAACAAGUGGUGGAGCGGUGAAAUGCGUAGAUAUCACUUGGAACGCCAAGGGUGAAAACAGUCUGCUGGGGAUCUGCUGACGCUGAGACACGAAAGCCAGGGGAGCGAACAGG